RNAcentral lists this ribosomal RNA (498 nucleotides) under uncultured bacterium. RNAcentral's name for it is "partial 16S ribosomal RNA". It matches the Rfam family "Bacterial small subunit ribosomal RNA", at positions 30 to 523 of the family's 1533-position model. The record is from RNAcentral.
AUUGAACGCUGGCGGCAUGCUUUACACAUGCAAGUCGAACGGCAGCGCGGGGCAACCUGGCGGCGAGUGGCGAACGGGUGAGUAAUACAUCGGAACGUACCCAGAAGUGGGGGAUAACGUAGCGAAAGUUACGCUAAUACCGCAUACGUUCUACGGAAGAAAGUGGGGGAUCGCAAGACCUCAUGCUUUUGGAGCGGCCGAUGUCUGAUUAGCUAGUUGGUGAGGUAAAGGCUCACCAAGGCGACGAUCAGUAGCUGGUCUGAGAGGACGACCAGCCACACUGGGACUGAGACACGGCCCAGACUCCUACGGGAGGCAGCAGUGGGGAAUUUUGGACAAUGGGCGCAAGCCUGAUCCAGCAAUGCCGCGUGAGUGAAGAAGGCCUUCGGGUUGUAAAGCUCUUUUGUCAGGGAAGAAACGGCUGAGGUUAAUACCUUCGGCUAAUGACGGUACCUGAAGAAUAAGCACCGGCUAACUACGUGCCAGCAGCCGCCGCAG